CGUCCUCUUCCGUGCUCCACCAGCCCCGGCACCUCUGCUGAUCUUCCUGGGUCAUACGUGUCUGUUUACUAGUCUAUCUCCACCAGACUGGAAGCUUCCUGGGAAUUAGGAUCUUAUCUGAGGUUAUAAAUACAAAUAACAACAGAAACGAUGGCAUUAAAAAAUUACCCUUUUUUGGGUGGCUGGCUCCUCGUCUGCUUCUGCAUCUGCAUCUGAUCUGCUGCAAACGUGUGUGAAGAAAACCUAGCCUCCCACCGGAAGGGGGAGAGAGAAAGCAUUUAAUAGCGGUUUCAGGUUAAUCAGAGAGCAUGCACAGAAGUAUGAGAGGGAGAAGCAG
This is a non-coding RNA of Callorhinus ursinus (northern fur seal), 337 nucleotides long. NCBI's taxonomy places the organism in Eukaryota, Metazoa, Chordata, Mammalia, Carnivora, Otariidae. The record is from RefSeq and is a predicted model, not a curated record.